RNAcentral lists this long non-coding RNA (339 nucleotides) under Ananas comosus (pineapple). Its description in RNAcentral is "long non-coding RNA (ACOM_LNC010985)". Lineage: Eukaryota; Viridiplantae; Streptophyta; Magnoliopsida; Poales; Bromeliaceae. The record is from RNAcentral.
AUAUUUUUAUAUGUUUUACUUUUUCACCUUUGAAUUUACUUCUAUUCUAUUUAUUCCCACUAAACCCAAACAUUCAAAAACAACAAAGUUUUUUUUUUUUUUGAGAAAAAAGUAAUAUACUACCUGCUUCGUUUAAUUAUUUCUAAAAUCCUUUAGAAAAAAACUUAGUUGAAAAUGUGAAUUAAUUAUAAAUCAAACUUAAAAUCUCGGAUACUAAUCAUCAAGUCUUUUUCCACUUCCGUUAGGAACAUUAGGUAAUAACAACAAACAUUGAAAGUACACGAUUAUUGAUACUUUCAUAAAUAUUCCUGCUCAAGUUCCAAAAUUAUAUACUUUUUU